UACGUAGGGGGCAAGCGUUGUCCGGAAUCAUUGGGCGUAAAGAGCGUGUAGGCGGCCCGAUAAGUCCGCCGUGAAAGCCCAGGGCUCAACCCUGGGAUGCCGGUGGAUACUGUCGGGCUAGAAUCCGGAAGAGGCGAGUGGAAUUCCUGGUGUAGCGGUGAAAUGCGCAGAUAUCAGGAGGAACACCGAUAGCGAAGGCAGCUCGCUGGGACGGUAUUGACGCUGAGACGCGAAAGCGUGGGGAGCAAACAGG
Molecule: ribosomal RNA, 253 nt
Filed under: uncultured bacterium
Lineage: Bacteria
Description: partial 16S ribosomal RNA
Rfam family: Bacterial small subunit ribosomal RNA
Source: RNAcentral